Molecule: long non-coding RNA, 271 nt
Filed under: Lathyrus oleraceus (garden pea)
Lineage: Eukaryota; Viridiplantae; Streptophyta; Magnoliopsida; Fabales; Fabaceae
Description: Pisum sativum (pea) long non-coding RNA (PSAT_LNC023932)
Source: RNAcentral
GGCGAUUGAGGGUGUGGUCGAGGAAAACGAAAGGGUGGUUGGCUUUAAUGGUGGAGGAGUGUUUGUGUUCGCCGGCGGUGCGUGUGAUCGGAGGUGAAGUGGUGGUUGUGAAGGCGUUUGAGAACACCGUUGGAAAAAGAUGAGAUUUUUGGUGUUGUGGUUGUAGUGGGAGUGGUGAUUUUGGAUUCCUGGAAAAGAAGAAGACGUUUUUCCCUCCUUUUAUUUUUCUUUUCUUUUUCUAUUUUUGAUAGAGUGUUAGUGGAGGGGUAAC